UGGCCCUUACGGCCAGGGCUACACACGUGCUACAAUGGUCGGUACAGAGGGUUGCCAAGCCGCGAGGUGGAGCUAAUACUCACAAAACCGAUCGUAGUCCGGAUCGCAGUCUGCAACUCGACUGCGUGAAGUCGGAAUCGCUAGUAAUCGUGAAUCAGAAUGUCACGGUGAAUACGUUCCCGGGCCUU
RNAcentral lists this ribosomal RNA (188 nucleotides) under uncultured Pseudomonas sp. RNAcentral describes it as "partial 16S ribosomal RNA". It matches the Rfam family "Bacterial small subunit ribosomal RNA", at positions 1196 to 1382 of the family's 1533-position model. The record is from RNAcentral. Lineage: Bacteria; Pseudomonadati; Pseudomonadota; Gammaproteobacteria; Pseudomonadales; Pseudomonadaceae.